AACCCGGCCUAGAGUGCACAAAAAAAAUCUGUCCUUAUCAGUUUAAUAUCUGAUACGUCCCCCCCAUCGGGGGACUACGUAUUAAAUGGAUUUUUCGAACAGGGAGUUGGAAAUGGGGCUUGCUCUGUCCGCUCCACGCAUCGACUCGGUAUAGCAGUACCUCCGGAAAUGGUGCAACACUU
This 182-nucleotide small nuclear RNA is filed under the name Salmo salar (Atlantic salmon). RNAcentral's name for it is "U2 spliceosomal RNA (ENSSSAG00000054051.2, ENSSSAG00020020651.1, ENSSSAG00070006960.1, ENSSSAG00075010478.1)". It matches the Rfam family "U2 spliceosomal RNA". From Rfam's summary of the family: U2 is a small nuclear RNA (snRNA) component of the spliceosome (involved in pre-mRNA splicing). Complementary binding between U2 snRNA (in an area lying towards the 5' end but 3' to hairpin I) and the branchpoint sequence (BPS) of the intron results the bulging out of an unpaired adenosine, on the BPS, which initiates a nucleophilic attack at the intronic 5' splice site, thus starting the first of two transesterification reactions that mediate splicing. The record is from Rfam by way of RNAcentral. Lineage: Eukaryota; Metazoa; Chordata; Actinopteri; Salmoniformes; Salmonidae.